Molecule: long non-coding RNA, 1597 nt
Organism: Drosophila nasuta
Lineage: Eukaryota; Metazoa; Arthropoda; Insecta; Diptera; Drosophilidae
Exons: 3
Source: RefSeq, a predicted model, not a curated record
UGUGUUUCACUACAUUCAAAGCGCUGACAACUGCAAUGAAAAAUGUGCAUCGAAUUUACUUUGUUUUUAACAAAACAUAGAAAAACAUUAACAAAAUAAAGAGAAUGUUGUAUUUAAGGAAGUCAUACGAUGCAAUGCUAUUGUUGAAUUUCAGUAGCAUUACUUGCUUUUAAUUAAGUCAUUAAAUCCAAUUAUUGUUAUAUUAAGUAUUAUACAAAUUACAAUUUCGAUGUUGUUGCUGCAGCUUUCUUAACCUAAAGCAAUUGCCAACUACAUGUCGAACAAUGCACAAUCAUUUGAGGUGAGGACGAAGAGACUGAUGUCGAGGCGGAGGUGGAGGAUUGUACCAAGAUUACACACUUAAUCAAACUUUAUGCAAAACUGCCUUCCACCCUCAAGAUUUUCAACAAUUUGCUGGCAUUGCAUACGCACAGAUAGUGCAAGGACAAGUCAGACGGGGAUGUGAUGAUAAGAGGGUAAUGGGAGAUGGGAAGGACAGUUGGACAGAGGUCUUAAAUGCUGCAAUUUGUUUUGCUGCCCGAAUCGUUGCUGUCUUCACUUCGAGGCUUAACCAAAGAGAAUGAGAGAGAAUCAUGUACCGCCGGCAGCUUCAUUGCCAAAAAUGUUGCAAGAGUUUCGACUGUUGCAACACCAAAAGCAAAAACAACAGCAGCAAUGGCUGCCAGUUCUGCCUGCUGUUUAACAUCCUUGGCUGACUCGCUUGGGCUCCCCGGACAAUUCAGUGCAAAAUUGCUAGACAAAACUGUGGCGCAUAAAGCGGCUGGAAUUGCUACAGCGAUGUUCUCGCACUCGUAUUCGUUAUGCGUGCAACACAGGCUGCCGCAUGCUGCUGCUGUGGCAGCAUCGCAUCGGUUCAAUCGGCUUCAUCAGCGUGAGAUAUUCGUACAGCACACACACACACACACACAUAUACACAGUCACUCACAGACGUAUGUAUGUUGAAUGUGCGUGCCUUGCUUGGGGUUUCAUCGUCGCCAUUGAGAUUGAAAAAUGUUAAAAAAUUGCUUUUAAAUGCCGCAAAAUACAAUUUAUUAUUCAACCGAGGCAAACGCCAAACACUGGGCACAAUGUGUGCCCUGGGAAUGAGCAACUCGGGUUUGUGGGUGGCCGUUACUGUGACUCUGACUGUGACUGUGACUAUGACUGUGGCAAAGGCAUGACAUACACCAUGCUUCUCGUAUAUGUUACCAUUGCAUUGCUUUGGCCAACGCAUAACAGUGCGGCUGCAUGGCAGUAAAUUCAAAUAAAGCACGAGCACACACACUCACACACACACAGAAACUGAAAAAGAAAGGAAGAGAGGAAGAUAUGCACACAAUCACAGUGGCAACAAUUGGAGCUGCAGUUGUUUUGUUUAUUACGUAUACGCAUUGUGCGACGCAUUCAGAAGCAUUUCAGCAUUUUUGGAAGGCUGUGCGCAAGGCUAAGCAGACAGUUGUUGCUUCGUCUGAGCCCUUUUUGCCAUUGCAUUUCAAGCUUUGAGAAAUGACAAAGGCUCUGCACAUAAUUACAAUAAAUGUGUGUUUCCAAAAAUUGUUGGCUUGCUACCAUUGCACAUAGACUCCUGCAACUUAAA